AUCGAAUGCCAUUUUAGUUGCGUCUACUUCGUAUCCCUGGAAUUCAGAACUCUGGUAUAAUAGGUAGAAGUGACAACCUUUCUAUCCCGGGAUGAGUUCUGCUUCUCUCAUUUCACUUUUAUGAUAAAACUCCACACAUUUGGAUUGAGAGGGAAGGCAAGAAGCAGUUAAAAUUUUUGACAGUUUGGAUGGCAGACUAUACUAAAAGGAAGCAUAGACCCUAGCAGCCUGUAGGAAAAUAAUUCAUCUGGCCUGACUGUGUUCGUUACCACAUAGCCGGCACGGUUGUCUCAUGCCAGCACCAAGACCAUAUGAAGCUAAAUCAACAGACCCUGAUUUGUUGGCUCAACCAAGUAUAAACUAGCCACUGGAAAAUCGAGUUGAAAACAUAGGACAAAUAUAUGAAAGAGACAAGCCACAGCUUGCAGGAGAGAAGAUGUUUGCAGAAAACUCCAGCAUUACAGGUUUAUCUAAGGUGUGGUCUCAGAAAGUGUGGCAUCAAGAAGCAGUUGUCCAAUCAAUCCACAAGACACAUCUAAAUUAUUGAUUAAUUAUAGCAUCUGAAUUUAGAAAAG
This is a long non-coding RNA of Neofelis nebulosa (Clouded leopard), 575 nucleotides long. RefSeq lists it as uncharacterized. NCBI's taxonomy places the organism in Eukaryota, Metazoa, Chordata, Mammalia, Carnivora, Felidae. The record is from RefSeq and is a predicted model, not a curated record. The transcript has 3 exons.